This is a non-coding RNA of Acanthosepion pharaonis, 103 nucleotides long. Lineage: Eukaryota; Metazoa; Mollusca; Cephalopoda; Sepiida; Sepiidae. The record is from the annotation of a GenBank genome assembly.
GUCACACGAGAAGGCAAACACCGGCUCUCGAACGAUCACCGAAAUUAAGCAACGUCGAGUCUGGUCAGUACCUAGAUGGGUGACCGUUUGGGAAUACCUGGAG